Molecule: ribosomal RNA, 619 nt
Filed under: Derxomyces amylogenes
Lineage: Eukaryota; Fungi; Basidiomycota; Tremellomycetes; Tremellales; Bulleribasidiaceae
Also listed under: 1 other name
Description: eukaryotic LSU rRNA
Rfam family: Eukaryotic large subunit ribosomal RNA
Source: RNAcentral
AAAGAAACUAACAAGGAUUCCCCUAGUAGCGGCGAGCGAAGCGGGAUGAGCUCAAAUUUGAAAUCUGGCGUCUUUCAGGCGUCCGAGUUGUAAUCUAUAGAAGCGUUUUCUGUGCUGGACCAUGUCCAAGUCCCUUGGAACAGGGUAUCAAAGAGGGUGACAAUCCCGUACUUGACAUGACCACCAGUGCUCUGUGAUACGUUUUCGACGAGUCGAGUUGUUUGGGAAUGCAGCUCAAAAUGGGUGGUAAAUUCCAUCUAAAGCUAAAUAUUGGCGAGAGACCGAUAGCGAACAAGUACCGUGAGGGAAAGAUGAAAAGCACUUUGGAAAGAGAGUUAAACAGUACGUGAAAUUGUUGAAAGGGAAACGAUUGAAGUCAGUCGUGUCUAUUGGUUUCAGCCGGUUCUGCCGGUGUAUUACCUUUAGACGGGUCAACAUCAGUUUUGGACGGCACAUAAGGGCAGAUUGAAUGUGGCACCUCCGGGUGUGUUAUAGCUUUCUGCCGCAUAUGCUGUCCGAGACUGAGGACUGCAGCUCGCCUUUUAGGCCGGGGUUCGCCCACGUUCGAGCUUAGGAUGUUGACAUAAUGGCUUUAAACGACCCGUCUUGAAACACGGAC